CCAAAAUAAAACUAGGCGGGAAAAUGAAAUACUCUGGCCAAAUGCUAAGAUGAAAUACACUUUGCAGAAGUCACUCUCUACUCCUCCACCACACUCAUCCAUUUCAAACCCUAAAUCAUAUUCUCACCAAUUUCACUCUUUCUUCUUCUUCUCUUCUUUUUCUUGGUUGAGUUCUUUAACCGGAUCGGAGUAUCUGAAUACGAGUAGUAGUAAAAAUGGUUUCGGAUUCGGAGCUGGUGAAUCGGCUCUGGGAUGUGCUCCAGACCUCCGACCUCAAUACCACCACCGCCCGCUCCGUCCGGCGUACCCUAGAGUCAGAGUUCGACAUCGACUUGUCUGACCGCAAACCCUUCUUCCGAGACCAAAUUGAUUCUUUCCUCGAGACCUGUGUUCAGAGGACCCACAACAACGCUGUCAUUGUUGAAGAAGAAGAUGAAGAAGCGAUUCACGAGGAAGCUUCAGAGACUUUGAAACUUAAAGACAACAAGUCUGUGUCCGAAGAAGAAGAAGAAAGUAAUGGACAGAGACGCAAGAAACGAAGGAAUGAUGGGCUCCGAAAAGACUACAAUGGGCAAGCACUAGCUUAUUCUUUUGUUGACAGGAAAAGACGUGGUGAUCCCGCCAAAUUGAGGGCGUGGAUAAUUGUAAAGAGCACACGGCCCUCCUUUUGUUGUGAAUUCUUUUGUAAAGCUAAGGGCUAACAUGUAUGGGUUUGAAAGAACCUUUUGUUAAUCGGGUUAUCGCCUUGGAAGAUGUAAGCCCGUAAGGGCAUUUUAUUAUUUUGAUGCUAGACAAGAAAUGCAAUAGGGUUAGUUGCUUCAGCUAUUGCUGCAGGUUUCUACAUUGGGCACCCUCGUCCCUAUGAUAGAAGCAAGUGGAUUUGCUACAGUUGCAGCUGCAACUGUUAUAGGAACUGUUGUCGGUAAUUUUAGAUAAUCUCUUAAUAGUUGUUGAUAGAAAGUUAGAUAUGCAUAGUUUUGGAUGGUUUAAACUUUUUGUACAGUUUAGAACUUAAAGAUAUAGUUUUUGAAUGUUUGGAAUGUAUAGACAAUU
This is an RNA transcript of Camellia sinensis, 1053 nucleotides long. RefSeq lists it as uncharacterized. NCBI's taxonomy places the organism in Eukaryota, Viridiplantae, Streptophyta, Magnoliopsida, Ericales, Theaceae. The record is from RefSeq and is a predicted model, not a curated record.